GCUUAACACAUGCAAGUCGAGGGGCAGCAUGAACUUAGCUUGCUAAGUUUGAUGGCGACCGGCGCACGGGUGAGUAACACGUAUCCAACCUGCCGAUGACUCGGGGAUAGCCUUUCGAAAGAAAGAUUAAUACCCGAUGGCAUAGUUCUUCCGCAUGGUAGAACUAUUAAAGAAUUUCGGUCAUCGAUGGGGAUGCGUUCCAUUAGGUUGUUGGCGGGGUAACGGCCCACCAAGCCUUCGAUGGAUAGGGGUUCUGAGAGGAAGGUCCCCCACAUUGGAACUGAGACACGGUCCAAACUCCUACGGGAGGCAGCAGUGAGGAAUAUUGGUCAAUGGACGAGAGUCUGAACCAGCCAAGUAGCGUGAAGGAUGACUGCCCUAUGGGUUGUAAACUUCUUUUAUACGGGAAUAAAGUGAGGCACGUGUGCCUUUUUGUAUGUACCGUAUGAAUAAGGAUCGGCUAACUCCGUGCCAGCAGCCGCGGUAAUACGGAGGAUCCGAGCGUUAUCCGGAUUUAUUGGGUUUAAAGGGAGCGUAGGCGGACGCUUAAGUCAGUUGUGAAAGUUUGCGGCUCAACCGUAAAAUUGCAGUUGAUACUGGGUGUCUUGAGUACAGUAGAGGCAGGCGGAAUUCGUGGUGUAGCGGUGAAAUGCUUAGAUAUCACGAAGACUCCGAUUGCGAAGGCAGCUUGCUGGACUGUA
Molecule: ribosomal RNA, 701 nt
Filed under: uncultured Bacteroidales bacterium
Lineage: Bacteria; Pseudomonadati; Bacteroidota; Bacteroidia; Bacteroidales
Description: bacterial SSU rRNA
Rfam family: Bacterial small subunit ribosomal RNA
Source: RNAcentral